AAGUCGUAACAAGGUUUCCGUAGGUGAACCUGCGGAAGGAUCAUUACCGAGAUAGGGUCUCACGGCCCGACCUCCAACCCUUUGUAGUCGUAAAAAAACCGUUGCUUUGGCGGGACGGCCGGAACGCCCUCGGGCGACCCGCGCCGCCGGGGGUCCAAAACCCCUCGGUCAGCGCCCGCCAGAGGACCACACAAACUCUGCUUCAAACAACGCGUCUGAGUCAAACAAACAAAUGAAUCAAAACUUUCAACAACGGAUCUCUUGGUUCUG
RNAcentral lists this unclassified non-coding RNA (270 nucleotides) under air metagenome. Its description in RNAcentral is "partial contains small subunit ribosomal RNA, internal transcribed spacer 1, and 5.8S ribosomal RNA". The stretch from base 1 to 46 matches the Rfam family "Eukaryotic small subunit ribosomal RNA", at positions 1786 to 1831 of the family's 1831-position model. The record is from RNAcentral.